This 253-nucleotide ribosomal RNA is filed under the name uncultured bacterium. RNAcentral's name for it is "partial 16S ribosomal RNA". It matches the Rfam family "Bacterial small subunit ribosomal RNA", at positions 524 to 776 of the family's 1533-position model. The record is from RNAcentral.
GACGAACCGUGCAAACGUUGUUCGGAAUCACUGGGCUUAAAGGGCGCGUAGGCGGGCAAGCAAGUCCGGGGUGAAAUCUUUCGGCUCAACCGGAAAAGUGCCUUGGAUACUGCUUGUCUGGAGGGAGGUAGGGGCAUGUGGAACUUCUGGUGGAGCGGUGAAAUGCGUUGAUAUCAGAAGGAACGCCGGUGGCGAAGGCAGGUCUCUGGGCUGACACUGACGCUCAUGCACGAAAGCGUGGGGAGCAAACAGG